This 335-nucleotide unclassified non-coding RNA is filed under the name soil metagenome. RNAcentral describes it as "partial contains 5.8S ribosomal RNA, internal transcribed spacer 2, and large subunit ribosomal RNA". The stretch from base 1 to 120 matches the Rfam family "5.8S ribosomal RNA", at positions 35 to 154 of the family's 154-position model. The record is from RNAcentral.
GAUGAAGAACGCAGCGAAAUGCGAUAAGUAAUGUGAAUUGCAGAAUUCAGUGAAUCAUCGAAUCUUUGAACGCACAUUGCGCCCGCCAGUAUUCUGGUGGGCAUGCCUGUUCGAGCGUCAUUUCAACCAUCAAGCCCCAGGCUUGUGUUGGGGACCUGCGGCUGCCGCAGGCCCUGAAAACCAGUGGCGGGCUCGCUGUCACACCGGGCGUAGUAGAUUUUAUCUCGCUCAGGGCGUGCUGCGGGUUCCGGCCGUUAAAAAGCCUUUUUUACCCAAGGUUGACCUCGGAUCAGGUAGGAAGACCCGCUGAACUUAAGCAUAUCAUAAGCGGAGGA